UGACGACGUCAAGUCAUCAUGGCCCUUACGGGAUGGGCUACACACGUGCUACAAUGGCAAGUACAGAGGGCAGCAAUACCGCGAGGUGGAGCGAAUCCCACAAAGCUUGUCGUAGUCCGGAUUGGAGUCUGCAACUCGACUCCAUGAAGUCGGAAUCGCUAGUAAUCGUAGAUCAGAAUGCUACGGUGAAUACGUUCCCGGGCCUUGUACACACCGCCCGUCACACCAUGGGAGUGGGAUGCAAAAGAAGUGGCUAGUUUAACCUUCGGGAGGACGGUCACCACUUUGUGUUUCAUGACUGGGGUGAAGUCGUAACAAGGUAGCCGUA
RNAcentral lists this ribosomal RNA (328 nucleotides) under uncultured Colwellia sp. RNAcentral's name for it is "bacterial SSU rRNA". It matches the Rfam family "Bacterial small subunit ribosomal RNA", at positions 1177 to 1504 of the family's 1533-position model. The record is from RNAcentral. Lineage: Bacteria; Pseudomonadati; Pseudomonadota; Gammaproteobacteria; Alteromonadales; Colwelliaceae.